Molecule: ribosomal RNA, 253 nt
Filed under: uncultured bacterium
Lineage: Bacteria
Description: partial 16S ribosomal RNA
Rfam family: Bacterial small subunit ribosomal RNA
Source: RNAcentral
UACAGAGGUCUCAAGCGUUGUUCGGAUUCAUUGGGCGUAAAGGGUGCGUAGGUGGCGUGGUAAGUCGGGUGUGAAAUUUCGGAGCUUAACUCCGAAACUGCAUUCGAUACUGCUGUGCUUGAGGACUGGAGAGGAGACUGGAAUUUACGGUGUAGCAGUGAAAUGCGUAGAGAUCGUAAGGAAGACCAGUGGCGAAGGCGGGUCUCUGGACAGUUCCUGACACUGAGACACGAAGGCCAGGGGAGCAAACGGG